AACGAACGCUGGCGGCAUGCCUAACACAUGCAAGUCGAACGAGACCUUCGGGUCUAUUGGCGCACGGGUGCGUAACGCGUGGGAACCUGCACUUAGGUUCGGAAUACCUCCACGAAAGGGGUGCUAAUACCGGAUAAUGUCUUCGGACCAAAGAUUUAUCGCCUUUGGAUGGGCCCGCGUUGGAUUAGCUAGUUGGUAGGGUAAAAGCAUACUAAGGCGACGAUCCAUAGCUGGUCUGAGAGGAUGAUCAGCCACACUGGGACGGAGACACGGCCCAGACUCCUACGGGAUGCAGCAGUGGGGAAUAUUGGACAAUGGGCGAAAGCAUGAUCCAGCUAGGCCGCGUGAGUGAUGAAGGCCGUAGGGUUGUAAAGCGCUUGUACCCGGGAUGAUAAUGACAGUACCGGGAGAAUAAGCGCCGGCUAACUCCGUG
RNAcentral lists this ribosomal RNA (433 nucleotides) under uncultured bacterium. RNAcentral's name for it is "partial 16S ribosomal RNA". It matches the Rfam family "Bacterial small subunit ribosomal RNA", at positions 29 to 507 of the family's 1533-position model. The record is from RNAcentral.